Long non-coding RNA from Daphnia pulicaria, 1745 nucleotides. RefSeq lists it as uncharacterized. The record is from RefSeq and is a predicted model, not a curated record. NCBI's taxonomy places the organism in Eukaryota, Metazoa, Arthropoda, Branchiopoda, Diplostraca, Daphniidae. The transcript has 11 exons.
ACUCAUGCUGUUCAUUCCUCCCCCCCCCCCCCUUCUGUAAUGCUUAUUAAAAUUUGUAUUUGCGCAUCAGGCCAAACUCUCCAAAAAUUGAGUUGAAGUUUUAAUUUAGAAAAUCUCUAAUUUGUCUUGACUAUAAAGAUUAUUUCAAAAAGAAAAAGCUUUAAACAAAUUUUGAAAUAUGUUUGUUGCUAUUGCUAGAUGGCUCUCUGACUUGCCAAGUGCCAACGCUGCAAAAAGGCAGAAUUGAUAAAGUCUGGCAUUGCUGUAAUGCUCUAUUGCUGUGGAAGUUGAGAAGUUGACGACAGAUCUGAAAAACUUAAAGUUAUCAGUUUGUAAAGUAAAUCCAUUCUGAAACAUUGUACUGUUCAGAAUGGAGGUUUUCUAUAUACGUAUUGGUGCCCCAAAUCUAAUAAGGAGUUUGUGAGAUCUGAAUGAUAUGAAUGGCCAUCCAGUCAGUUGUAACUGAUAUUCAUGACGAGAUGAUGAAGAUACCGGAGGAGUUAUGGAAUGCCACAGAAAAAAGGAUAUACUGUCAGUUUUUCACCAUUGCACUCGUCACUUGGAAGGAAUGAAGGGAUGGUGUUGCUACUGAUAUGGGAUGUUGAGUCAAGACUUUGCAGCAAGCCAGCAACACAUCAUCAGACAUGGCUACAAGGAGUUGGAAAUGUACUUGCUCGUUGUGAUCGUCCACAGUUUGAUACCAAGGGCAUGUGAUUACCACGACGAACUUGAAGAUGGAUAACCUGGAACAUGAUGAUGGUGUCUUGGUGGAGUAUUGCUAGGUGCUGACCUUUCAACACCGAUUGAUGGUGAUUUUCAAGUAAGCUCAUUUCCCAUGAAUAUUUUGGAUUCGAUAUAGGAGUAAUGCCGUUCGAGAAGUUACUUCUGUGUGUGUUUAACGGUCGGAAGCAACAGUAGCAGUAGCCUGCACAGCAUCUAUGUCAAUAUGAAUGUCGGGUGGUGGAACCAACUUGUUAGCUGGAUUGAAACCUACUUUCUAUCACUGGAUUUAACUGAGUAAUAGCUGUGGGUGUUGGAUCGAGUCAGCGAGAGGCCGUAAUCUGUAUAUUAGGAUUAUUUCAGUUGGGUUUUAUUCAACACACUAGCAAUCUACCUACGAUCGUAAAAAACUAGGCGUCGGGAGAGAGUCAAUGCAGAUGUUACUUGACGCAGAAGUUCUCCAUUAAAAAACCGUUAUCACUUCUAUUAUAUCAAAGGACUUACGCAUCAAGUGAUGAAAUUUGACUAUACGGUCAAUUGAGUUCGACUACAUCACGAGGGGAAGCAUCUAGCCCAUUGUCGUUCAAGAUUUGCAUCACGGCCCCAAGAAAAACUCGCCGUCUAGAAUCUACUCAUCGGUGAAAAUCCAGGACCAUGAAGGAAAUAUCAACUUAGGCCAAACAGCUGUUGCGCUAUACGUAUUACCCUAACCCAUCAACUAAGAGUGUUACUCCUGGAACAUCAAUGAGUGUUGUUCGUCAAACAAUUCUUCGUAAACAAAGUUAUGUAGCUCGAAAACAAGUCGACAUACCUUGUGUCUACACAGCCGGAUUUCGCGUCAACUGGCGUAUUCAAUUAUUCAUAUCUCCAAAGAUGGAAAAAUCAACACACUAGUUUCGAGUCAUUAUACAUAAAACUAACGAUGGGAAAUUUCCAUGAUUUCUCCAGCAUUCUAGCUGAUCAGGACGAUGUAACACUUCAUGGACAACUACGUAAACUUUUAGUUCUUCAUCUUCUUAGUGAAG